AGCUUCCACCGUUGAGUCUUUGAGCCCUCUCCACCAAGUUGUCGUGCCCAAAGCGUUGCUCCAUGUACUUCUUUUUGGUGUAAUGAUGCAACACAAGCUUGAGCUGAUUUGACACUAGUGAAAAGUACAGAUGAAGCAUCCAUUUGACAACCAUCAUGUGCUAGCCCAUGAUUUUCAAUCUCUUCUUUUGGAAGAGGGUAAGUAAUAGAACAUAUGGUGCCACACUCCGCCGCAAGCUGGUGAGCCUCUUUUGCCAUAUUUGCAUUUACAAUUCCUCCUAUUAUAACUGUCCUGGCGACCCUCUGCUUUCCUGAAUAAUUUCCAUCAUCAGCUGCACCAUUGGAAAGCAAUGUAGCCUUUUUUUUCCUAGCGGGCUUACCUGAGUUCUCUGUUCCUUGCCGGCUUGAAGCUUGUUUGUGCUUAGCUGCUUCAGUAGAAGCACCAUCUUUCCCGUCUUUUUCUUGUGCAAUACUUUGAGGGUUUGAAGCUUGUUUGAGCUUAGCUGAUUCAGUAGAAGGACCGUUUUUGCCGUCCUUUGCUUGUGCGGUACUUCCUGUUCCCUCCAUGUUUGAAGCUUCUUUGUCCUCAACUGAUUCAACUGAUUCAGCAGAAGGACCAUCCUUGCCGUCUUUUACUUUUGCAGUGCUUUCUUGAUCCCCCUUUGAUUGCCGUUGUUCACGAGGAGCACGCUGCAUAGCCUGUUUGACACCAAUUUUCCUUCCUCCAACCACUGAUCCAUUCUUUAGCUCGAUGGACCGGUUAGCAUCGUCUACAGAUGCAAAUUGGACAAAGCCAAAACCCCGGUGCUCGCUUGAACCUUUAUUGGUAACCAUAAAACACCGCCUAAUGGGUCCAACUUCACUGAACGUCUCCUCCAACUGAGCAUUAGUGAAAGAAUAAGGUAAAUUGUUAACAAAAAUAGUGGAAGGUGAGUGUUGGCUAUCGCCACCAGACAUCGUCUUCUUGUUUUUUCCCAUCUAUAUGAUUGUCAAGAAGCAAUGGCGUUUCGAUUGUCAAGAACACCGA
RNAcentral lists this unclassified non-coding RNA (1026 nucleotides) under Hevea brasiliensis (rubber tree). Lineage: Eukaryota; Viridiplantae; Streptophyta; Magnoliopsida; Malpighiales; Euphorbiaceae. The record is from RNAcentral.